GAAUAUUGGACAAUGGGCGCAAGCCUGAUCCAGCCAUGCCGCGUGAGUGAUGACGGCCUUAGGGUUGUAAAGCUCUUUCGGCGGGGACGAUAAUGACGGUACCCGCAGAAGAAGCCCCGGCUAACUUCGUGCCAGCAGCCGCGGUAAUACGAAGGGGGCUAGCGUUGUUCGGAAUCACUGGGCGUAAAGGGCGCGUAGGCGGCUUUGUAAGUCGGGGGUGAAAGCCUGUGGCUCAACCACAGAAUUGCCUUCGAUACUGCAUGGCUUGAGACCGGAAGAGGUUAGUGGAACUGCGAGUGUAGAGGUGAAAUUCGUAGAUAUUCGCAAGAACACCAGUGGCGAAGGCGGCUGACUGGUCCGGUUCUGACGCUGAGGCGCGAAAGCGUGGGGAGCAAACA
Molecule: ribosomal RNA, 398 nt
Filed under: uncultured bacterium
Lineage: Bacteria
Description: partial 16S ribosomal RNA
Rfam family: Bacterial small subunit ribosomal RNA
Source: RNAcentral